RNAcentral lists this non-coding RNA (820 nucleotides) under Leptomyxotermes doriae. RNAcentral describes it as "12S ribosomal RNA". The stretch from base 400 to 812 matches the Rfam family "Microsporidia small subunit ribosomal RNA", at positions 752 to 1304 of the family's 1311-position model. Lineage: Eukaryota; Metazoa; Arthropoda; Insecta; Blattodea; Termitidae. The record is from RNAcentral.
AGUUUUAUUCUUGCUUUAUUCGUUCAUUUUUUUGUUUGUUCUAUAUGUAAGUUUGUGCAUUAGUGGCCUUUGUGGUUUCUAAAUGGGCUCGGGGCAUGGAGUUAGUUUUUGUUGGUUUUCUCAUUAGUUAUUAUUGGUUGAUCAAGGGUGCUUGUAUCCAGCAAUACGUUUAGUUUCGGUUAAAUUUUGUGCCAGCAGCCGCGGUUAUACCUUGGAAGCGUUUGAACGGGGUUGGCUUUAAAGGUAGUUGUAUAUUAUUGUAUUGGUUUUGUUUUUGGUUAUUUUUAGGUGAAAUUUUUAUUUCUUUUUUUCUAGUUUAAUGUUUGGAGGCUAUGAAAUUUUAUUUUUAAACUAGGAUUAGAUACCCUAUUAUUUUAGAAUGUUAAUUGGUUUAUGCCUGAGUAGUAUUAGUUAUGUUCUUGAAACUUAAAGAAUUUGGCGGUAUCUCAUUCCUUCCAGAGGAAUCUGUCUCGUUAUCGAUAGUCCACGUUGGACCUUACUUGGUUGAUUAGGUUUGUAUACCGCCGUUUAUUGAUUAUCUUUUUAGAGUUAUUUUUAAUUUUCUAGUAGCUCCAUUUUGAUAUAUUUCAGGUCAAGGUGCAGCUUGUUUCUAAGUGGAAUGAUGGAUUACAUUGUAAUUUGGUUUAUUGGAUUGUGAGUUUUAAUAUUGGCAUGAAAGUGGAUUUGGUUGUAAUGAUUUUUAGAUUGUUAUUAUGAUAGUGGUUCUGAGAUAUGUACACAUCGCCCGUCGCUCUCGUUUGUUUUUGAUGAGAUAAGUCGUAACAAAGUGGUUGUACCGGAAGGUGCGGCUGGAUUGAUA